GCCUUCGAGGUGUAACUGAAAACACGUCCGACUAACAAUCGGGGUUCAAGAGUUCAAAUCCCUGAGAAGGCG
This 72-nucleotide transfer RNA is filed under the name Stegodyphus mimosarum. It matches the Rfam family "tRNA". From Rfam's summary of the family: Transfer RNA (tRNA) molecules are approximately 80 nucleotides in length. Their secondary structure includes four short double-helical elements and three loops (D, anti-codon, and T loops). Lineage: Eukaryota; Metazoa; Arthropoda; Arachnida; Araneae; Eresidae. The record is from Rfam by way of RNAcentral.